This 373-nucleotide long non-coding RNA is filed under the name Equus caballus (horse). RNAcentral's name for it is "lncRNA (ENSECAG00000048834.1)". Lineage: Eukaryota; Metazoa; Chordata; Mammalia; Perissodactyla; Equidae. The record is from RNAcentral.
GGAUAUCCCUCAGUGAAAAAGGAGGCCAGCAGUACCUCCCACUGGGGACCAGGAGCCUGCCAGUACAGGAUGCAGCCAGUGCACAAAGCUGGUAAGAGAAGGGCAGAAAUGGAUGGAGAAGGAAAGAAGAAUAACUCAGCAGCACAGCUACGUCAGCUUGUGAACCCAGCUCUAACCAAUCUGAAAGGUUAUAUCUACUCCUCUACUCACCUUUCAUAUUUAUGAGUGUGCAUGGUCAGAGACCUCUAGGCUGACUGGCAUCAUCUCUUCUUGGCAUCAUCCCAGUGGUCUGCAAUUGGAUCGUUGUGGCGAGUCCUGAACCUAGGCAGAGGAAGAGAGGACCUCCAAUCUGGAGGGCGUGUUGAGGUCAUCU